AACGCCCUCGACCUAUUCUCAAA
Molecule: small nuclear RNA, 23 nt
Filed under: Arabidopsis thaliana (thale cress)
Lineage: Eukaryota; Viridiplantae; Streptophyta; Magnoliopsida; Brassicales; Brassicaceae
Description: snRNA_06683
Source: RNAcentral